AUUGAACGCUGGCGGCAUGCCUAACACAUGCAAGUCGAACGAGUGGCGGACGGGUGAGUAAUGUCUGGGAAACUGCCUGAUGGAGGGGGAUAACUACUGGAAACGGUAGCUAAUACCGCAUACCAUCGGAUGUGCCCAGGUGGGAUUAGCUAGUAGGUGGGGUAAAGGCUCACCUAGGCGACGAUCCCUAGCUGGUCUGCGAGGAUGGCCAGCCACACUGGAACUGAGAAACGGUCCAGACUCCUACGGGAGGCAGCAGUGGGGAAUAUUGGACAAUGGGCGCAAGCCGGAUGCAGCCAUGCCGCGUGUAUGAAGAAGGCCUUCGGGUUGUAAAGUACUGUCGGCGGGGAGGCGUUACCCGCAGAAGAAGCACCGGCUAACUCCGUGCCAGCAGCCGCGGUAAUAC
RNAcentral lists this ribosomal RNA (406 nucleotides) under uncultured bacterium. RNAcentral's name for it is "partial 16S ribosomal RNA". It matches the Rfam family "Bacterial small subunit ribosomal RNA", at positions 30 to 526 of the family's 1533-position model. The record is from RNAcentral.